RNAcentral lists this ribosomal RNA (253 nucleotides) under uncultured bacterium. RNAcentral describes it as "partial 16S ribosomal RNA". It matches the Rfam family "Bacterial small subunit ribosomal RNA", at positions 524 to 776 of the family's 1533-position model. The record is from RNAcentral.
UACGUAGGUGGCAAGUGUUGUCCGGAUUUACUGGGCGUAAAGGGCGUGCAGGCGGUCUGUUAAGUCUAGGGUGAAAGCUCCCGGCUCAACUGGGAGAGGUCCUUGGAUACUGGCGGACUUGAGGGAUGCAGAGGAAAGUGGAAUUCCCGGUGUAGUGGUGAUAUGCGUAGAUAUCGGGAGGAACACCAGUGGCGAAGGCGGCUUUCUGGGCAUUUCCUGACGCUGAGACGCGAAAGCGUGGGGAGCGAACCGG